This is a long non-coding RNA of Daphnia pulicaria, 2077 nucleotides long. RefSeq lists it as uncharacterized. The transcript is spliced from 7 exons. NCBI's taxonomy places the organism in Eukaryota, Metazoa, Arthropoda, Branchiopoda, Diplostraca, Daphniidae. The record is from RefSeq and is a predicted model, not a curated record.
AAACGAAAUGCAAUUAUUUUCGGAACAACUUUCGUCUGGUGAAUGGAGAAAUUAAAAUUCUUCUUGUUCUUCUUGGAUACUCGCGAGUCGCGACUUUCCUCUGUUCCACAGCUAGAAGUGUCAUUAAACGAGAUGUUUUCAAAACAACCCAAUAGAUGCAUUAGUUAUAACACUUUAUAAAUAGCUCUACUUCAGCUAUACCCAUUUCGGUUGUUACUACGAGAAAAUGAGAUCGCAUCUUGUAUCAGUCUCGCCAAUCUUUAAGUCAUCAUCGUGAAGUUGUACAUCUGUACAGCAAAUAAGAUGUCUCUUUGCACAUCCAUUAAUACUGCAAAAGAAUUCUUUUUUGAUUAAAGAAGAAGUCCAAUAUCGGCAGCAAUCUGCAGAAUAAUCCAACUCGUCGCAGUAAGUGAUGAUUUGAUUUUCCUUAUGGCGAAGUUUUGAAGUAAAAGGACGAAGGCGGUAAAUUUUUUUCUACUUUUUUAUUAAUUUGUUGGACAUUUUUUGAUUUUUAUGAUUCCAAGCAUUUUCUAAUCAGUGGUUGUGAAGUUGCCACUUGUAAUUUUGUCAAUAGGUGAGGUUCGAAUUCGUCCACCAGGGGGUGUGGUCUUCGGUAGCCAAAUCAAUUCACGUGACGUCAUUCGUUUCUGGACGCUGAUGCUGUAUGGUGUAUUAUGAUUUGUAUUCGAUUACUUCGGGUUUCCAACAUUUUCCACCAUGAAUAUAGAAAGUCCCACUCCCAGUGUGUCAUCUGACCAUGUGGCCUGAAAUUGCUGUCCGUGUGCCGGAAUGUCGUCUCGUACCAGAAACUUAAUUUCAAUGCUAAUUCAAUCUUUUUAAGCUGGUGAACGGUGGUGUUUGCUGCUUAAUGUGUUGAUGGUGAAAGGUGUGCUCAACUCGGAACAAGCUGUUGUUGUCUCUUGUGUUGGUGAAUCUACAGUUACUUUGCUAACCUUCUUCAGCUUCUCUGGAUACAAUAUUCAACAUGUUAAACUGUUUGAUGCCAAAGUUGUCAGAAUUCUAACCCUAACAGUUGCUGCUGCCUCUCACCCACAAGCAGAAAAGUUACUCAAUUUCUUAAGACAAAAUUUGUAAUAAAAUAGGUUCAACAGCCAGCUGAUAUCUCUGCAUUGUUGUUUAACACAACAUGGUUAUUUGGUGUAGCCAGCCGGUGAAAGGCGUCAUCAAAUCAAGUUCAGCUGUGGCACGGAGUCUGUGGUGCCGGUGUAUUCUGGAGCGUGUUGGUGUUCUGUGAAAUGUUUUGCUUAAACUGUUUUGUGUGUCCUUUGGGCCCACCUAGGUUAGGUUCUUUUGUUAACAUGUUUCCGUACCGGAACCUAGCGUUGGGCCCAAGAUACUUGAGGAGAUUAUUUGCCAUUGAAGUAAUUUAUGAUAGACAAAUGCAUAUUGUACUCUCUUCAGUGAAGCCUCGUUUCCAUAACUAACAAACGACCGCUGUGCAAUACUCCAAAAGGAGAAGGAAGUCGGUGAAAUAAUGAACAGCUAGUCCCACUGCGGAACCCGAAAUGAGCGGCGAGAUUGUCUCAAAUGUUGAUCUGAUCUAACUAUUUCCAGAAGUAGAUCAUAUCUUUUAGUUCAAUCGUUCGCCGCCGUUCCAUCAACAAUAUCCAUUGUCGAUACUGAUGAGAGGCUGAAAUUUGAGAUUGAUUGAUAAAUCACAAGUGUAUAUAUCUGUGUUCCCUCUCUGUUUCCUUAAGUAAACAGUAAGCAACUCCCCCCCCCUCAAUCACCCUCUGUGAUAACCGUGAUGAAACGCAUGAUUUGAGCAAAACCUUUGAAGGGCUUUCAGUCUAACCCUCCUUUGAUUAAUCGCUCCCGUAAUAACAUUUUCACAACUCCUUAAUUUUUGUAUAUAAUUCCUUUUUUUUUCCUUCACAUAUCAUGCUAUCUUUACUUUACAAGUGCAUAUCAUAUCUUUGCUCUCUCCCCGUUUCCUUAAGUAAACAGUAAGUAACCAACUUCCCCCUCCCAGUCGUCAACCCACAUGAUACGAGCAAAACAUUUGAAAUUUUUUUAGUCUAACCCUCCUAUGAAUAAUUACUCCCGUAAUAACCGA